This 247-nucleotide unclassified non-coding RNA is filed under the name Colletotrichum sp. RNAcentral's name for it is "partial internal transcribed spacer region". The stretch from base 1 to 46 matches the Rfam family "Eukaryotic small subunit ribosomal RNA", at positions 1786 to 1831 of the family's 1831-position model. The record is from RNAcentral. Lineage: Eukaryota; Fungi; Ascomycota; Sordariomycetes; Glomerellales; Glomerellaceae.
AAGUCGUAACAAGGUCUCCGUUGGUGAACCAGCGGAGGGAUCAUUACUGAGUUACCGCUCUACAACCCUUUGUGAACAUACCUAACUGUUGCUUCGGCGGGCAGAGGUUCCCUCGCGGAACCCCUCCCGGUGACGCCCUCACGGGCGUCGCGCCCGCCGGAGGAUACCAAACUCUAUUUUAACGACGUUUCUUCUGAGUGGCACAAGCAAAUAAUUAAAACUUUUAACAACGGAUCUCUUGGUUCUG